This 489-nucleotide ribosomal RNA is filed under the name uncultured bacterium. RNAcentral describes it as "partial 16S ribosomal RNA". It matches the Rfam family "Bacterial small subunit ribosomal RNA", at positions 30 to 507 of the family's 1533-position model. The record is from RNAcentral.
AUUGAACGCUGGCGGCAGGCCUAACACAUGCCAGUCGAACGGUAACAGAAAGCAGCUUGCUGCUUUGCUGACGAGUGGCGGACGGGUGAGUAAUGUCUGGGAAACUGCCUGAUGGAGGGGGAUAACUACUGGAAACGGUAGCUAAUACCGCAUAACGUGCCAGACCAAAGAGGGGGACCUUCGGGCCUCUUGCCAUCGGAUGUGCCCAGAUGGGAUUAGCUAGUAGGUGGGGUAACGGCUCACCUAGGCGACGAUCCCUAGCUGGUCUGAGAGGAUGACCAGCCACACUGGAACUGAGACACGGUCCAGACUCCUACGGGAGGCAGCAGUGGGGAAUAUUGCACAAUGGGCGCAAGCCUGAUGCAGCCAUGCCGCGUGUAUGAAGAAGGCCUUCGGGUUGUAAAGUACUUUCAGCGGGGAGGAAGGGAGUAAAGUUAAUACCUUUGCUCAUUGACGUUACCCGCAGAAGAAGCACCGGCUAACUCCGUG